AUUGAACGCUGGCGGCAUGCCCUACACAUGCAAGUCGAACGGCAGCACGGGAGCAAUCCUGGUGGCGAGUGGCGAACGGGUGAGUAAUACAUCGGAACGUGCCCAGUCGUGGGGGAUAACGUAGCGAAAGUUCCGCUAAUACCGCAUCCGAUCUAUGGAUGAAAGCGGGGGAUCGCAAGACCUCGCGCGAUUGCAGCGGCAGGUGGCAGAUUAGGUUGUUGGUGGGGUAAUGGCUUACCAAGCCUCCGAUCUGUAGCUGGUCUGAGAGGACGAUCAGCCACACUGGGACUGAGACACGGCCCAGACUCCUACGGGAGGCAGCAGUGGGGAAUUUUGGACAAUGGGCGAAAGCCUGAUCCAGCAAUGCCGCGUGAAGGAUGAAGGCCUUCGGGUUGUAAACUGCUUUUGUACGGAACGAAAAGCCCCGGGUUAAUACCCUGGGGUCAUGACGGUACCGUAAGAAUAAGCACCGGCUAACUACGUGCCAGCCGCCGCCGUAA
This 500-nucleotide ribosomal RNA is filed under the name uncultured bacterium. RNAcentral describes it as "partial 16S ribosomal RNA". It matches the Rfam family "Bacterial small subunit ribosomal RNA", at positions 30 to 523 of the family's 1533-position model. The record is from RNAcentral.